RNAcentral lists this transfer RNA (72 nucleotides) under Camelus bactrianus (Bactrian camel). It matches the Rfam family "tRNA". From Rfam's summary of the family: Transfer RNA (tRNA) molecules are approximately 80 nucleotides in length. Their secondary structure includes four short double-helical elements and three loops (D, anti-codon, and T loops). Lineage: Eukaryota; Metazoa; Chordata; Mammalia; Artiodactyla; Camelidae. RNAcentral also lists the same sequence under 1 other name. The record is from Rfam by way of RNAcentral.
GAGGGUAUAGCUCAGUGGCAGAGUGCAUGCUUAGCAUGCACGAGAUCCUGGGUUCAAUCCCCAGUCCCUCCA